CCUACGGGGGGCAGCAGUCGAGAAUCAUUCACAAUGGGGGAAACCCUGAUGGUGCGAAGCCGCGUGGGGGAAUGAAGGUCUUCGGAUUGUAAACCCCUGUCAUGUGGGAGCAAAUUAAAAAGAUAGUACCACAAGAGGAAGAGACGGCUAACUCUGUGCCAGCAGCCACGGUAAUACAGAGGUCUCAAGCGGUGUUCGGAAUCACUGGGCGUAAAGCGUGCGUCGGCUGUCUCGUAAGUCGUGGGUGAAAGGCGCGGGCUCAACCAGAGGAUUGCACAUGAGACUGCGAGACUAGAGUAAUGUAGGGGGAAACGGAAUGCGCGGUGUAGCAGUGAAAUGCGUAGAUAUCGAGCGGAACACGCGUGGCGAAGGCGGGUUCCCGGACAUUAACUGACGCUGAGGCACGAAGGCCAGGGGAGCGAAAGGGAUUAGAUACCCGAGUAGUC
This 446-nucleotide ribosomal RNA is filed under the name uncultured bacterium. RNAcentral's name for it is "partial 16S ribosomal RNA". It matches the Rfam family "Bacterial small subunit ribosomal RNA", at positions 338 to 795 of the family's 1533-position model. The record is from RNAcentral.